This 468-nucleotide ribosomal RNA is filed under the name uncultured bacterium. RNAcentral's name for it is "partial 16S ribosomal RNA". It matches the Rfam family "Bacterial small subunit ribosomal RNA", at positions 28 to 507 of the family's 1533-position model. The record is from RNAcentral.
GACGAACGCUGGCGGCGCGCCUAACACAUGCAAGUCGAACGGAGUCAAGAGGAGCUUGCUUUUCUUGACUUAGUGGCGAACGGGUGAGUAACGCGUGAGUAACCUGCCCUGGAGUGGGGGACAACAGUUGGAAACGACUGCUAAUACCGCAUAAGCCCACGGAUCUGCAUGGAUCUGCGGGAAAAGGAUUUAUUCGCUCUAGGAUGGACUCGCGUCCAAUUAGCUAGUUGGUGAGGUAACGGCCCACCAAGGCGACGAUUGGUAGCCGGACUGAGAGGUUGAACGGCCACAGUGGGACUGAGACACGGCCCAGACUCCUACGGGAGGCAGCAGUGGGGGAUAUUGCACAAUGGGGGAAACCCUGAUGCAGCGACGCCGCGUGGAGGAAGAAGGUUUUCGGAUUGUAAACUCCUGUCGUUAGGGACGAUAAUGACAGUACCUAACAAGAAAGCACCGGCUAACUACGUG